AAUCAACGCUGGCGGCGUGCCUCAGACAUGCAAGUCGAACGCGAAAGCCCCCUUCGGGGGGCAAGUAGAGUGGCGCACGGGUGAGUAACACGUAGGUAAUCUACCUUUGGAUGGGGAAUAACAACCGGAAACGGUUGCUAAUACCGCAUAAUGCAGCGGCACCUAAUGGUGACAGUUGUUAAAGCGGGGGAUCGAAAGACCUCGCGUCUGAAGAGGAGCCUGCGGCGGAUUAGCUAGNGGUAAGGUAACGGCUUACCAAGGCGACGAUCCGUAGUCGGCCUGAGAGGGCGGUCGGCCACACUGACACUGACACACGGGUCAGACUCCUACGGGAGGCAGCAGUCGGGAAUUUUGGGCAAUGGGCGAAAGCCUGACCCAGCAACGCCGCGUGAAGGAUGAAAUCCCUCGGGAUGUAAACUUCGCAAGAACGGGAAGAAUAAGUAGGGACAAUACCCCCUAUGAUGACGGUACCGUUUGUAAGC
RNAcentral lists this ribosomal RNA (482 nucleotides) under uncultured bacterium. RNAcentral describes it as "bacterial SSU rRNA". It matches the Rfam family "Bacterial small subunit ribosomal RNA", at positions 32 to 491 of the family's 1533-position model. The record is from RNAcentral.